UGCAGAAGCUGGCUGUUUUUUAGGGUGGAC
RNAcentral lists this non-coding RNA (30 nucleotides) under Mus musculus (house mouse). Lineage: Eukaryota; Metazoa; Chordata; Mammalia; Rodentia; Muridae. The record is from RNAcentral.